This is a long non-coding RNA of Bos taurus (domestic cattle), 4542 nucleotides long. NCBI's taxonomy places the organism in Eukaryota, Metazoa, Chordata, Mammalia, Artiodactyla, Bovidae. The record is from Ensembl.
UUAAUAUUCUGACUUUUUUAGUCUCAUAAUCAUGUCCAUGUUCAAAAUUGUUCCCUUAGCUUCAUUUCAUAACAAAGAUUCAAGGUAAAAAGCUCUUUAAGCAGAAAUUCAAGGUUAAUGUCUUAUGUGGAAAUCUUUCUACUAGAUCUGUUUAUUCUUUUCUUCUAAAAAAAAUUAUAGACUGAUUUUCCAGAUGCUUUAUAAGGAUGCAGUGAGUUAUCUAUUUUGGUAGAAAUUGGAUUAACAUGGAAUUUGGUUCAGCCAAAAUUACAAAUUAUUGUCUACUUGAAUCCAACUUUCUCAUCUCUUAUUUGGACCUGUUUAUUCUCCAUCAGGGACCAGGGUUAGCCUUGCUGAACAUUGAUUGUAAAGAUAAAUUUAGUCCCUGGCUAAUUUCCCCAAAGGUUGUUCUUUGGUCCUUGUUAAGUAAAAAACUUUUUGAUUUAUUAAGGAUUAAGGAAUAAGGCAUUUUUAAAUUGAACAAGCUCUACAUUAAGUCCAGUGUAUUAUAAGUACAUCUUUGUAGUUCUUUGAUACCUUUUUAAAAAUUAGAAAUAAUGAUUUUUACAUGAUUUUUGAAAAUUGAUUUUGGAGAUUUGUAUUCAUUUUAGGCACAUAUUAUCAAUCUUUUUUUCUCCCCAUGUAAAAGUUAUGUUUGUGUGUCUGAAAUGUAUUACCUAUUUGAUUUAUGUGAUGGCACAUGCAUGAAUUUAACCAAGGUUAUAGUUCUGUUUAUAGGGCCAUCCUAAGAUUAUCACGCACAGAUAUUUUUCCAUAGGAAAAAUGAAAUAUUUAAAGAAUAUAUUUUAGUUAGUUAUCCUUACUGUAAAAUAACAUCUUUAAACAUUUGUAUUUUUUAAGCAAAAAUAUUUGUGUAUGCAGAAUAUUUUCCUUCAACGUAGUCGCUUGUGGUACCUUCACAUUCUGCCAUGUUCCUUUUAAUACAGGACAGGGCAUUUAUUGACCUGUGAGGUUGCAUUUUUCUGUUAGAAAUAAUCAAAGGUCAGUUGGGUGAUUAAAUUGGGUAGUAUGGUUUAGGGGAAAAAUGUGUUCAAGGGAAAAUAAGUCUGACUUUCUCCUGGGAUACAUCAAACUGGUCUAAAGUGGAAAUUCCUCAAAACCCCUGCAGCGGCAUACUAGAAUAGCUUGUGCAUGUGUGCUAAGUUGCUAAGUGUCUGACUCUGCAAUCCUGUGGACCAUAGCCUGCUAGGCUCCUCUGUCCAUGGUAUUCUCCAGGCAAGAAUACAAGUAACUAUUCAUUUAUAAGUUCAAUUGUUUUUAAAAAAAAAAUCAGUCUUACUCAUUUUAUAAGUAUAAGCUCAAUUGUGUAAAAAAAAAUCAAUCUUGUUACUUUUUAGUGAUGUUAUAUCCCAACAACUACCUAGUUUAUCAAAUCCAGUCAAGGCUUUUGACAUUUGAAAUAUCUCAGUAUGAUAGGUUCAAAAUCUGGAAUAAGAACCAGAGAUGGUUUUAAAAUGUAUCAAGAAGGCAUUCUCAUUUCCUAAAGACCAAAUAUUUUCUAUAAGGAAUGUUAGAUAAAAAAUGUCGAGUAUCAUUUUACUGUCUUUACUGGAAGCUGAUUCCUUGUGCUAAAUGUGAACAGUCUUAAUAUAACUUGAUGUAAAACAAGCUUGAAAAAUUUCUCUCUUCAGAGUUUACAUAUUUUCCAUCACCAGUAGGCCACUUAUACAAUACCUCUGUACUGAGUAUUUAAGUUCAACCUGACUUUGUUAAGGUUUAAAAAUUGCUCCUUGCCUACAUUAAUAUUCAGUUCAGUCGCGUCCGACUCUUUUCGACCCCAUGAAUCGCAGCGCGCCAGGCCUCCCUGUCCAUCACCAGAUCCCGGAGUUUACCCAAACUCAUGUCCAUUAAGUCGGUGAUACCAUCCAGCCAUCGCAUCCUCUGUCGUCCCCUUCUCCUGCCCCCAAUCUCUUCCAGCAUCAGGGUCUUUUCCAGUGAGUCAACUCUUCGCAUGAAGUGGCCAAAGCAUUAAUGUUAAGUACUUGUAUUUAGCAGUGUUAUAUUUUUGGAUGUUAGUUAAUUUGAUGAACCGUUCAGCGUUAGUCUGUUCUUCAGAGUUCUACUUGGUACAGUGUCCAGGAAAAUUAACUUGGAUAAAACGAUGAUGCAUAUUUUACAGUUAAAAUAUUUUAAAAUUUCUGUUUAAGAAGUAGAUCUCCAAAAAAAAAAAAAAAAGAAGUAGAUCUCUGUAAUUGCCACAGAUAAUUUUGUGAUUCUGGUUCUGGUAGUUGUUUUUGUGUUAGGAAAAUAUUGUACCUCGCAGUGCUUGAUUUGUAGUUUUUUUUACUGUUUUAGAAAUCUUCACAUUUAUUAUCUCUUAACAGAAAUGAUUUUUAGCUAAAUGUUUACAUUAUUGAAUGAGGAAAGUUGAACCAAUGGUUAGGACUAAAACAGGCUGAAAUUUAGAUUUGGUGUUCUGCAUGGAGUUUUGUUAUUGACCAUCUCCACUCAGGUAUUUAUGCAUUAGAAUUAAUAUUGGAUUCCAAAUCACUUGAUUGUAAUUUGCAUUUUAAGUGUAAUAUACAGAUUCUACUUUAUUAGUAAGUGUUGUUUUAAAUUUAUACCUUCAUUUAAGCUUGUUUUUAAAAUGAAGAUUAAAAAUUUUUAGCUAAUAGAAAUUUAGGUAAAUAUGUAGUAUUUAAGUUAUUGCUAGUUUAUUACUUGAACUUUGAUUCAGUGUGCAAUAAUAGCUUUUAUGUGGUAAAACUACAUGUUCCUUUUUUUUUUUUCCCACUUGAAAUACCUCUUUAACUGAAGUGAGGUUUGUCCAUAACAGCUUCAGGUUUCUGUGACCAAUUCAUAUAUGACUGAAGUGACUCUUGAUAUAAAAUGAGUUAGAAAAAUUAUUUUUUAGCAAACUGAAUAUUAACUUUAAUACUGUAUGAUAACAAAAGCUAUCUGGCUUGAAUUUUUAGCCUUUCUUGUUAGUUUCUAUCCUAUUAUUUCCCCUCCUUAAAAGAAAAAGUCUACAUUCCCAGUACCUUUUCUACAACUUAAGGAAAACUGGAUAUUUGACAGUAGAGUUAUUUUCACUGAAUUUUAGUCUUUGUGCCUGAAAUAAGCAGUACUGACAGGAAGAUAUAAUUAACUUCCCUCUCUUGUAACAGAGUUUAUAGCACCUAAUAUUCUUAAAGAAUAAACCUUUACCAAGUUAUGUACUUAUUUGCAGAUCAGCCUAGGAACACCCUCAAGAAAGCAGUAGGUGGAUUGUGUAGAAAAUAGAGAGACAGAGAUUAUUGAUCAUGGGGAUUUUAUCAUGUUCACUGAAAAAAAAAAAUCUUUCAAAUAAAGAUAAUGAAGUUUAUAAGUGGAAAAUAAUAUGAUUAGUCAAAGUAUUUUUUAAAAAACUAAACUCUUGAAAACAAAAUAAAUUGGUUAUUUCUAGGAAAAGGGUAUCUUUCAUGUAUUUGGAAACAAAGCAAUUAAUGCCAAGAUUUAUCUGUUUCUUUUCCCCUUUUAGUUGGUUGACACAACCAAGUAAUUCAAUAGUAGUAUUACUGGUUUAAUUCUAUAAUGCUUAUUAUCUCCUAAUAUUUAAAAAGACAUUGCCUCCAAGAUAAAAGAUGCUGGUAGAAAGAGAAAAGAUACUGAUCUGUAUCCAUCCUUUUUUUCUCUCUGUUGUAUCCCCCCACCCCUGCCAAUAUUAAAAACAACAACAACAGUCUACUUCUGUAGGCCUGAAGAGGCUGCUUUUACCCAGGAGAAGCUUUUUCAAGAUAGCUCAAAACCUGUGACUUCUGGUCAUAGGUAAUGUAUUCAUCCUCUUGUAUCCUUAGUCAUGACUUUUUAAUGAAGACUGGAACUCUGGAGAUAAUAUCCAGCAGCCCAAGUUUGUGUGCAAGAAUGGUGUUAGGCAUUUUCUUCCAUUGUAGGGGAUGUCUCAGAUGCUUUUUUAUGGUUCCCUCCAAGGAGCUUUCCAGACCCCCAAAAUAACGGCCCACCAGCAUGACCCUCUUCUUCCCCCUUUUCCCUCUCCUUUUCUGUUUCUCCUCCUCCUUUCAAUGAACACAUCAAGGAAAACAGGACCCUGUAAGUAUGCAAUUACUGUGUUUCAUGUUCUUAAUUAGCAGUCAUAACUUCAGCAUUGUCUCCUAACAAGGCAGUUUCACCAUUAGUCAUGCUCCUGUAGUUCAUUGUCCUUCUAAAUAUCAGUGUCACUGUGGAUCACCUUUAAGUGUAUUGAACAUAGGGAAAAGGAUAAAGGGAAGAAAUAAUAAUUUAUAACGUUACUGAGUUUCAUUGCUUAUGGUAUUUAAUGUUUUAAUCUUUUGCCAAAUGAAAAACAAUCUUUUAAACAAAAAGGGAAAAAAUCAUUUUAUGCAAAUGUUUGUAAACAUGUAUGUAAAUAUGUUGUUUUCUUUACCUCCAAAAAUCAUUAAUAAAAAUGGAUUUUUAGUUUCUUCUUGAAUGGGGUUCCUUUGUGUAUAGUAGGGCAAAUUUUGCAAGCCCAGAACAACACUUAAAUCUGAGUUUCUUUUAUCACAUGAUAUCAGAAGGGAUACAGCUUUUUCUGUCUUGUCA